This 85-nucleotide transfer RNA is filed under the name Candidatus Latescibacterota bacterium. Its description in RNAcentral is "tRNA-Ser". It matches the Rfam family "tRNA". From Rfam's summary of the family: Transfer RNA (tRNA) molecules are approximately 80 nucleotides in length. Their secondary structure includes four short double-helical elements and three loops (D, anti-codon, and T loops). Lineage: Bacteria; Pseudomonadati; Candidatus Latescibacterota. The record is from RNAcentral.
GGUGGGGUGUCCGAGUCCGGCUUAAGGAGACGGUCUUGAAAACCGUUGGCCGAAAGGCCCGUGGGUUCAAAUCCCACCCCCACCG